CCUACGGGAGGCAGCAGUGGGGAAUUUUGCACAAUGGGGGAAACCCUGAUGCAGCGACGCCGCGUGAUUAGAAGGCCUUCGGGUUGUAAAAAUCUUUUGUAUAGGAAGCAGUACUAUACGAAUAAGGUCCGGCUAAUUACGUGCCAGCAGCCGCGGUAAUACGUAAGGACCGAGCGUUGUCCGGAAUCAUUGGGCGUAAAGGGUACGUAGGCGGCUAGAAAAGUUAGAAGUCAAAGGCUAUAGCUCAACUAUAGUAAGCUUCUAAAACUAUUUAGCUUGAGAAAUGGAAGGGAAAGUGGAAUUCCUAGUGUAGCGGUGGAAUGCGCAGAUAUUAGGAAGAAUACCGGUGGCGAAGGCGACUUUCUGGCCAUUUCUGACGCUGAGGUACGAAAGCGUGGGUAGCAAACAGGAUUAGAUACCCUUGUAGUC
RNAcentral lists this ribosomal RNA (429 nucleotides) under uncultured bacterium. RNAcentral describes it as "partial 16S ribosomal RNA". It matches the Rfam family "Bacterial small subunit ribosomal RNA", at positions 338 to 795 of the family's 1533-position model. The record is from RNAcentral.